UGGACAGAAAUGCACGGCCAGCACCAGCAGGGGCCAGCCUGCUACACUUCAGCCCCCAGCGGCUGUCUUGACAGUAGCUGCUACCUGGUGAUAAGUGCGCAAGGGUUUCCUUUGCUCUACAUUCUCGCCGACACUUGUUGUCUCUUGUCUUUUUGAUGACAGCCACUCUAGCAGGUAUGACAUGUUCUCUCAUUGUGUUUUUGAUUUACAUUUUCCUAAUGAUUUGUGAUGUUGAGUCCCUUUUUAUGUACCUAUUGGCCUAAUUCUACAUUUUUUGGCAUCUGGAGAAAAGAUGUGUUAUAUUUUAAGCUCAUUUAACUUUUUAAAAAUAUACUUUUAAUUUUAGAAUAGUUUUAGAUUUAUGGAAAAAUUGUGGAGAUGGUACAGAGUCCCCAUAUACCCCAUACCCAUUUUCCUCUGUUGUUAACAUCGUACAUUUUUAUGGUACAUUUGUCAUGAUUAAUGAACCAAUAUUGUUAUUACUAUUAAGUAAAGCCCAUAAGUUAUUAUAUUUUCUGUUUUUACCUCAUGUUCUCUUUCUGUUCCAGUAACCCAUCCAGGUUACCACAUGGCACUUAGUCUUCCUUUCUCCUCUUGGCUGUGACAGUUUCUAAGACCUUCCAUGUUUUGGAUGUCCUUGAGAGUUGUGAGGAGUACUGGUCAGGAAUUUUGUAGCAUGUCCCUCAAUUAGGAUUCAGCUGAUGGUCCACUCAUGAUUAUACUUGGGUUAUGGGGUUUUGGGGAGGAGCUCUUUAAGUUUUUCAUCUUAGCUUCUGAACAUCAGAUGUUUGUUCUUUGAGCUCUCUUCAAGGCCGAAUGGCUUUCGGCAGCAAGAAACUCACUCCAGGCACAUUUAUUAUUAUUUGCUUUCAAACACUUUUUGCUGUUUACUCUGCUAAAGAAUAAAAGCAUUUUUAGAAAUUGGGGACGUGCUUGGCAAUAGUUGCUGAAAGGAAAGUUGUGUGUGGAAUUCACUUCUAAUUAUACUUGCUAUGCAGGGAGAGCUGAAAAAUUAAAUAUUAGCACGAGAUUAUUUUAGUCACAGACAUGAAUGGUAUAUAAAUUCUCUUUCCCUACCAAACAGGGGAUCUGGAAUUUUUUUAAAAUUAUUUGUGCCCUUUUCCAUUUUUAAUUUUAGUUGCUACAGGAAUCAGGUUUGUCUUAAAUACUGUUUCCCUGUGCUGUUUUGUAUCUUCCAGCAGAAACGAGAUUUGGAAAGACUAAACUAAAAAGUACACUAGAUUGGAUCAAAAAGAAAACUCUAAACCAAAUCACUUGUGAAUAUCUUUACAAAAAUCUUGAAUAAAAUAUUAAAACACAUAAUACAACAUCUUAUUAAAAAUAGCAUAUCACAAAUGAGUGGGAUUUAUUCUGAGAAAGCAAGGGUGAUUCAUUAUGAG
RNAcentral lists this long non-coding RNA (1400 nucleotides) under Equus caballus (horse). RNAcentral describes it as "lncRNA (ENSECAG00000055160.1)". The record is from RNAcentral. Lineage: Eukaryota; Metazoa; Chordata; Mammalia; Perissodactyla; Equidae.